RNA transcript from Ziziphus jujuba (common jujube), 3449 nucleotides. RefSeq lists it as uncharacterized. The record is from RefSeq and is a predicted model, not a curated record. The transcript is spliced from 3 exons. Lineage: Eukaryota; Viridiplantae; Streptophyta; Magnoliopsida; Rosales; Rhamnaceae.
AUGAAAAUUUGUAAUAGUCACCGAACCAAAUAAUUUUGACCAACCAAUACCUAUCAGCUACAAACAGUGGCUUUGUCAGGCACAAAUUUAUUAUAAAAAACGGUGCCGUUUUGCCCCAACUACGGACUAUCUGAAAAAUGAUGCCUUAAGAAUUUCCAAAAAUUUUCAAUCUCACCCUCUCGCUUUCCCUCUCCCUCUCCCUUGAUCUCCGACCUCACUUCCUUUUCCGAUGGAGUCCAAGAUUUCGACUCCGAGGGAGACGACCACCACUGCAAACACACCAGCCACCAAUAGAUUAGCCAUGGACCUCUUCUCCGACCUGCUAUAUGCCCACCCGCUUUGGUUCAAGCCUACUCUCUUUCUCUCGCAAAAUUUCCAUUCUGAAUCCUUACGAGCAUUCAAUUUCGCUCCAUUCCACACUCUUCGAUUCGAUCUCCAGAGUCAAUGCGUGCGCCAUAACUCAGGGAGAAGAGCGAGCAGUUUGGGGGUUCGGUGGAGUGCGAGCUUGGGGCUUUGAAGAAUUGUUUGAAAUACGGAUCGGAGGCUGCCUCUGCUAGAGAAGCUUGGAGCUUUUGCUUGAUACGUUUCACGUGGUCUCUAAGAUAUGCGUUUCAUUUCUCAUUUUCAUUUUAAUUUUGUUUUUUUUGGUCUAAGGUAUCCAUGAUAUGUUUCUCAUUUCCAAAAACAGUGCCGUUUUUGCUCAAUACGUUUCACAUGGUCUCUAAGGUAUCCAUGGAUAUGUUUUGGUCUACGAUUGCACAUUCAUUUUAAACUGAACUAGUGUGUUUGAAAACAGAAGAUAGGCGUUCAGCGUUUUCAGAGGAAAACAGUGAGGGUUGCUCUGAUUUAUAGAACAGGGGCUGUAUAAGUUUGUGUGCCUGUAAUUCCUCUUUUUAAUUAACGAAAUUUGGUUUCUUGUUUGCUUAUCUCAUUGAUAUAUGCUUUCUAAAUUCCUUGUUCUUGUUGUAACAUUUGGUUGCUGCUUUCCUUAAUUUUGACUUAAAUCUGAUAUGUAAGCCUGCUGUCAAGCCUGUAUGUUAGCUGUUGAUUUAUCAUCUUGUAGAAAUAUAUUAGCUUGUGUAUAGAUCAGAUUGAAUAUAUUGCUGGUUUGUUGUUGGAUGGCUUGAUAUAUUGGUUUGUUAUUGUGAGCUAGCUUCUAGGAAGUCUAACCAAAAUCAUGCUGUUUGGCAAGGAGAAGGUGAUAGUGCCUGAAAACAAAACAAAUUUGAUAUUGGAAGGCAAGGGCUAUCUCAACACAUUUCUAUCAUGGAAUGAAACUGCAGGGUCAAGAAGAGGGACAUUUUAUCGUUUUUCGGUUAACAUCCCAGCUUCUAACUUCAUUGCCUACAAUCUUAGCUUUCAGGUAUAUUAUUGGCAUUAAUACUAUUUACUUUGAAGAUUGCUUCAUUCAAGGCUCCAUCGAUUUCAUUUUUGGAAAUGGAAGAUCACUGUAUUAGGUACAAAACAUUGCUCCUAAACUUUCUCUUAGAGUCAUAAUUGAAGAAUUUGAUAUUUUGUAUUUGAUUCAAAACCAUGUUUUGCAUGGUCACAAAAGAGAGAACAAAAUAGAUAUAGAUUAUACACAACACAACUAAAGAAUCAUCGUUUAAUUUCACAAUUAUAGGCUAUUACCAUAUAAAGAAUAAGAGGUCAACUAAUAAACAAUAUCACAAAGAAAUUCUUUCUUCUUUCCAUUGGUAGAGCUUUGUGUAUGAUAGGAUUCUCUUGAGCUGAUUGUGUGUUAAUCAGCUCCUUGGCAGGGCAUAUUAACCUCCUUGACAGUGGUAGCUUCUUUUUGAUGCUGAGUUAUUAACGAAACACAAUGCUAAUCUUCCUUCUACUUAUCUAUAACUGCUGUAAUUUAGUCUAUAACUUGAAGAUAAAUAUGUGUAGUUACUACCAGCUAGCAGACUUGUCUCUUGUAACAGUGUCGUCUAUAUGUACCAAAUCUUUUCAUUCAAUGCAUUUGUAUAGUUUUGUGCACUUCUCUUAUCAUUCUCUUAUUGAUAAUCAGCGAGUUAGAUGCAGGGAGAGUUCCAUAGAAAUUCCAAUAACUGAAGAAUGUUAUAUUUUGUUAUUCAGCCUUUGCUGGUGCAAAGAAUGCAGAAAUUAUACCUGCAGCAAACACAUAUGUGGAGGUACCUUUCCAUAUGUAUAUGUAUAUUAUUUAAAUUUGUUUUUGUGUGUGUAUAUAAAUAUAUAUAUAUAUAUAUAUAAAUACAUAUUGUGUUAUCUUCUUUUCGCGAUUCCUUUAUCACAAGAUUCUAUUUCUCUCAAACUUUUGUUAGCCAUAUAAUCAAUUAACAGAUUGGAAGUAUAUAUAUGUUAUAAAAGCCACUACUUUCUGAUUUAUUUUUAUUUUUAUUUUUUAUUUUUUAUAUUUCCUUUGAUGAUAAUCAUUUGAGAAAUCAUUUAUGCUUGAAGGUAUUCCAUCAUUUGAGAAAUCAUUUAUGCUUGAAGGUAUUCCUGUGAUAAAUUGUGAGUAAUCUUAUUAAGACACCACUGAUCUACUACUCAUUACUAUUGUUCAAAUUUAUCAAAUUGAAGGGUUUAUGGUCAUAUGUCAAUUUUGUGUAUCUCUGGUUUGUUGUAUUCAAAGUGUUGUUGAUCAUAUUAGGAUAGAAAGAGAGACGGGAUAUGGAGGGCUUGGCGUUGAUAUAUUAUAGGUUCUAAAUUGAAAACAGUAGGAAAAUGACUUAGCUAGGUUGUGGUUAUUUAAGAAUGGUGUUUGGUUUUUCAUUAUACAUAUAAAUUUUAUUUGGGCAUUGAAUUUUCUUUAAUUGUUAGUUGUAAAUCUUGCUUAUAUAUCUGUUACUUUUAAAUUACAACUUUAGCUAAUAAAUUAUCCCCUUGCGCAACUCAUUAGAAUGUGUUUUUUUAAAAAAAAAAAAAGAAAAGAAAAAAACCUUUAGCUAAUUAAUAUUAGCACCACUAUAUAUAUAAUAAUAUUGAUUAUUAUAAGAUCAAUUUUUGUUAGGGGAACAAAGAAGAGGUGGCAAUGCUUGGCAGGUAUGCCGACUUAUAGAUGGUUUAUAUAGAUAAUUAAAAAAAUUCAUGUUCCUUUUUUAUUUGGCAGAGGUUGGACAAUGGACCAUUUCUGUUACUACAAUACUAUUCCUACUUGUUAAUGUGGGACCUAGUAUGUUUAUAAUAAAAGACAAGUGGUUGGGAAGCUGAGGGAAUUGAAAAAGAGGUUGGAAUGCUUGGUAGGAUCCUUGGAGAAUAUGUUAAUGAAUUGCAUUGGAAGAUGGAGAUUGUAAAGAUUUAGUGGGUAUAGGCAACCAUUUUGUAUAUAUAUUUUUCCCCUAGAGUUGCAAAUUGUUUUUGUUUACAUUUUCCUUUUAGUGUAAUCUUAUUGUAUUUGCUACACAUUAUAUUUGUAUUAGUUGGUGUUUAAUGAAUUUUGUAGUACAAGUUAAAUGUUUAAUAAAGUAUUAUUCUUUUAUGCA